UGUAUUCACUACUGUAAGUCGCUCUGGAUAAGAGUGUCUGCUAAAUGUUGUGAU
Molecule: non-coding RNA, 54 nt
Organism: Salmo salar (Atlantic salmon)
Lineage: Eukaryota; Metazoa; Chordata; Actinopteri; Salmoniformes; Salmonidae
Source: Rfam